GAUGAACGCUGGCGGCGUGCCUAAUACAUGCAAGUCGAGCGAACAGAUAAGGAGCUUGCUCCUUUGACGUUAGCGGCGGACGGGUGAGUAACACGUGGAUAACCUACCUAUAAGACUGGGAUAACUUCGGGAAACCGGAGCUAAUACCGGAUAACAUAUUGAACCGCAUGGUUCAAUAGUGAAAGGCGGCUUUGCUGUCACUUAUAGAUGGAUCCGCGCCGUAUUAGCUAGUUGGUAAGGUAACGGCUUACCAAGGCAACGAUACGUAGCCGACCUGAGAGGGUGAUCGGCCACACUGGAACUGAGACACGGUCCAGACUCCUACGGGAGGCAGCAGUAGGGAAUCUUCCGCAAUGGGCGAAAGCCUGACGGAGCAACGCCGCGUGAGUGAUGAAGGUCUUCGGAUCGUAAAACUCUGUUAUCAGGGAAGAACAAAUGUGUAAGUAACUGUGCACAUCUUGACGGUACCUGAUCAGAAAGCCACGGCUAACUACGUGCCAGCAGCCGCGGUAAUACGUAGGCGGCAAGCGUUAUCCGGAAUUAUUGGGCGUAAAGCGCGCGUAGGCGGUUUUUUAAGUCUGAUGUGAAAGCCCACGGCUCAACCGUGGAGGGUCAUUGGAAACUGGAAAACUUGAGUGCAGAGAGAAAAGUGGAAUUCCAUGUGUAGCGGUGAAAUGCGCAGAGAUAUGGAGGAACACCAGUGGCGAAGGCGACUUUCUGGUCUGUAACUGACGCUGAUGUGCGAAAGCGUGGGGAUCAAACAGGAUUAGAUACCCUGGUAGUCCACGCCGUAAACGAUGAGUGCUAAGUGUUAGGGGGUUUCCGCCCCUUAGUGCUGCAGCUAACGCAUUAAGCACUCCGCCUGGGGAGUACGACCGCAAGGUUGAAACUCAAAGGAAUUGACGGGGACCCGCACAAGCGGUGGAGCAUGUGGUUUAAUUCGAAGCAACGCGAAGAACCUUACCAAAUCUUGACAUCCUUUGACCGCUCUAGAGAUAGAGUCUUCCCCUUCGGGGGACAAAGUGACAGGUGGUGCAUGGUUGUCGUCAGCUCGUGUCGUGAGAUGUUGGGUUAAGUCCCGCAACGAGCGCAACCCUUAAGCUUAGUUGCCAUCAUUAAGUUGGGCACUCUAAGUUGACUGCCGGUGACAAACCGGAGGAGGGUGGGGAUGACGUCAAAUCAUCAUGCCCCUUAUGAUUUGGGCUACACACGUGCUACAAUGGACAAUACAAAGGGCAGCUAAACCGCGAGGUCAAGCAAAUCCCAUAAAGUUGUUCUCAGUUCGGAUUGUAGUCUGCAACUCGACUACAUGAAGCUGGAAUCGCUAGUAAUCGUAGAUCAGCAUGCUACGGUGAAUACGUUCCCGGGUCU
This 1371-nucleotide ribosomal RNA is filed under the name uncultured bacterium. Its description in RNAcentral is "bacterial SSU rRNA". It matches the Rfam family "Bacterial small subunit ribosomal RNA", at positions 28 to 1381 of the family's 1533-position model. The record is from RNAcentral.